This 566-nucleotide ribosomal RNA is filed under the name uncultured bacterium. Its description in RNAcentral is "bacterial SSU rRNA". It matches the Rfam family "Bacterial small subunit ribosomal RNA", at positions 8 to 574 of the family's 1533-position model. The record is from RNAcentral.
AGAGUUUGAUUAUGGCUCAGGAUGAACGCUGGCGGCGUGCCUAACACAUGCAAGUCGAGCGAAGCAUUUGAUGUGAAGUUUUCGGAUGGAACGUUAAAUGACUGAGCGGCGGACGGGUGAGUAACGCGUGGGUAACCUGCCUUAUACAGGGGGAUAACAGUUAGAAAUGACUGCUAAUACCGCAUAAGCGCACAGUACCGCAUGGUACGGUGUGAAAAACUCCGGUGGUAUAAGAUGGACCCGCGUCUGAUUAGCCAGUUGGCGGGGUAACGGCCCACCAAAGCGACGAUCAGUAGCCGACCUGAGAGGGUGACCGGCCACAUUGGGACUGAGACACGGCCCAAACUCCUACGGGAGGCAGCAGUGGGGAAUAUUGCACAAUGGGGGAAACCCUGAUGCAGCAACGCCGCGUGAGUGAAGAAGUAUUUCGGUAUGUAAAGCUCUAUCAGCAGGGAAGAAGAUGACGGUACCUGACCAAGAAGCCCCGGCUAACUACGUGCCAGCAGCCGCGGUAAUACGUANGGGGCAAGCGUUAUCCGGAUUUACUGGGUGUAAAGGGAGCGCAG